Molecule: long non-coding RNA, 1022 nt
Organism: Sapajus apella (tufted capuchin)
Lineage: Eukaryota; Metazoa; Chordata; Mammalia; Primates; Cebidae
Exons: 2
Source: RefSeq, a predicted model, not a curated record
ACUCCAGCCUGAGUGACAGAGCGAGACCCUGUCUCAAAAAAAAAAAAAAGGAAAUAAAGGAAUGGCAGAGCUUUGGCUCAUUCAGAGACACAUCCUUGGGGACUGCCACAGGAGCCAUGUCUCUGCCGUUUGAUGACCUGGAGCACUGUCCCUCCUUACUUUUAACAUGAGAAAGAAAACAGGGUUUAGCAGGAUUUGCAUUGUAACAAAGAGGAAUUUUCUCCCGGUAAAAGAAAUAGAACAGGCCAUAUUAUCCAACGUAUAUAAAUGUGUUUUAAAGUAAACAAGGUUUUACCUGUUCUCAACAGCUCCCUUGCCCCCACCUCCCAGGCCCGCUGCUCAGGUGCUCACAUGGGUCUCACUGUGGCCUCCCCCAACCCCACCACUUGUUCCCUCUCCACCAGGGCCAAGGAGGGCUUCCUGAUAUCUGCAGCCUAGCCUCAUCCACCUCCAUGGUAAGCUUGUUCAAGGCUGGCGGAUGUGGAGGUGCACACGGGGGGCCUGGAGCCAGCAGGUGACCUGUAGCUGCCCAAGUGAGAUGGGCUCUGUGGCCCCAGUGAGAAAAUUGUGAGAUGCUGGAGGAACCUGGGACCAGGGAUUGCUGUCAGCCACUGUUAUUUCCUUUUGCAAAACAAGAUUACAGGGAGAGUUAAGAUGUCCUGGCAAAAUCCAGAUACCGGAUUAGACCUGAAGAAACAAGAUUCAUCAUCCUGGUCUCACCACAAAGCCCAAGAUGCUGCAGCGGAGGAAGGCCCCAUCAGGGCUGCCUCCCCCAGGCCCGGCUGUGGUGUGCUGGGCAGCCCCACAUCCCCACUCAGCCAGGCCCCCAGCAGCUUCUGUUUGGACUGAGGUAUGUGUAUGGGGGGACACCUGAUUGAGAAGUGUGAGAAGGGCCCUGAAGUCCUCACGUGGCCUUGGGCAAGUCACUCUGCUUGCUAAACCCUGUUGACCUCACCUGGAAAAUGGGAGAACUGCUUAAUGGCUCUGAAGGCAUUUUUUUUUUUUUUUUGGAGACUGAGUCU